This 499-nucleotide ribosomal RNA is filed under the name uncultured bacterium. RNAcentral's name for it is "bacterial SSU rRNA". It matches the Rfam family "Bacterial small subunit ribosomal RNA", at positions 56 to 550 of the family's 1533-position model. The record is from RNAcentral.
UGCAGUCGAGCGGAGACAGGUAGCUUGCUGCUGAUCUUAUGGGCAGAGGGGUGAGUAAUGCUUAUGAAUCUGCCUAUUAUUGGGGGACAACAUUUCGAAAGGAAUGCUUAUACCGCUAACGUCCUACAGGAGAAAGCAGGGGAUCGUCAGACCUUGCCCUAAUACAUGAGCCUGAGUCGGAUUAGCUUUUUGGUGGGGUAAAGGCCUACCAAGGCCACGAUCUGUAUCGGGUCUGAGACGAUGAUCCUCCUCACUGGGACUGAAACUGAGCCCAGACUCCUACUGCAGGCGGCAGUGGGGAAGAUUGGACUAUGGGCGCGAGCCUGAUCCAGCCAUGCCCCUUGUGUGAGGAAGGCCAUAGGGUUGUAAAGCACUUUAAGCGAGGAUGAGGCUACUUUACUUCAUACCUAUACAUAGUGGACGUUACUCGCCCAAUAAACUCCGGCUAACUCUGUGCCAUCACCCGCGGUAAUACAGAGGGUGCGGGCGUUAAUCUGAU